Molecule: long non-coding RNA, 905 nt
Filed under: Homo sapiens (human)
Lineage: Eukaryota; Metazoa; Chordata; Mammalia; Primates; Hominidae
Description: HSALNT0388942
Source: RNAcentral
UUUUCGAAGUCUUUAUUUCUCCAUGUUUCUCUUUCCCCAGCCUCUUCCCUCCUAGGUGCUCUGGUGUGUCUGCUUCUGGCCCCAUCUGUUUUCCCUUGCUCCAGGUGGCUACAGCUGGCAUAUGCCUUUAAAUCCUUUCGACAAACACUGCUGGGAAGGUGGUUCCAAUGCUGAAAGUUCUGAGGGCGAUGAAACAAAGGCAAGCCUCUGAGUCAGUCCCUCUGGUUGCUGCCAGACUGGUCGAAAAAUACAACCACAGCUUUUUGAGAACAAGGACCUUAUUGGCCUCUCUGGCACAAGCAAGCUGCCCAAGGAAUGUGGGCCACCAUCUCCAUAGCUGCUUUCUGAACUGGGGAUUGAGAGGUGGCGAUCACAGGGCACGCCCUAAGAAACCUGCACACUAACCUCCCUCUCAGACACUGCUUCUGGAGAGCCCAACCUGUGACCGCUGGGUCAGGAGGGGUCUGAGGAAGAAGAUGCUAAGAUGGGAUUCUGGCUCUGGAUCACCCACUGCCUAGCUGCUGAUAAGGAUCCUUUUGCUGGGGGUAGAUGGAGCGGGUACAUGCCCCCGCACAGAGCAGAGGAUGCCAAGAAAACACAGUGAGGAAAGGAUUAUCUCUUCAGUGUUGGGAAAACUGGAUAUCCACAUGCAGAAGAAUGAAACUGGAACUUUACCUCACAUUAUGUACAAAAAUCAACUAAAAAUAGAUUAAAGACAAAAACCUAAGACUGGAGACUACAAAACUAUUAGAAGAAGAAAACACAGGGGUAAGCUUCUUGACAUUGACCUGGGUAAUGAUUUUUUUGGACACGACACUAAAAGCACAAGCAAAAAGGCAAAAAUAGACAAGUGGACUGCAUCAAACUGAAAAGCUUCUGCACAGCAAAGGAAACAAAAGAGUGGA